This 407-nucleotide ribosomal RNA is filed under the name uncultured bacterium. RNAcentral describes it as "partial 16S ribosomal RNA". It matches the Rfam family "Bacterial small subunit ribosomal RNA", at positions 28 to 526 of the family's 1533-position model. The record is from RNAcentral.
GACGAACGCUGGCGGCGUGCCUAAUACAUGCAAGUAGGACGCAGUUGCGAACGGGUGAGUAACGCGUAGGUAACUACCUAUUAGAGGGGGAUAACUAUUGGAAACGAUAGCUAAUACCGCAUACUAGUAGAUGGACCUGCUUUGUGUUAGCUAGUAGGUAGGGUAAUGGCGUACCUAGGAAACGAUACAUAGCCGAACUGAGAGGGUGAUCGGCCAACAUGGGACUGGGACACGGCCCAGACUCCUCCGGGAUGCAGCAGGAGGGAAUCUGCGGCAAUGGGGGGAACGCUGGCCGAGCAACGCGGCGUGAGUGAAGAAGGUUGUCGGAGCGUAAAGCUCUGUUGUUAAGGAAGCGGUACUUAACCAGAAAGGGACGGCUAACUACGUGCCAGCAGCCGCGGUAAUUC